This is a long non-coding RNA of Erigeron canadensis, 205 nucleotides long. RefSeq lists it as uncharacterized. NCBI's taxonomy places the organism in Eukaryota, Viridiplantae, Streptophyta, Magnoliopsida, Asterales, Asteraceae. The transcript has 3 exons. The record is from RefSeq and is a predicted model, not a curated record.
AUCCAACAUUCUUUACACUAAUAUCAUCUUCCAUAAGCCGUCUCCAUCAGACACACACACACGCAGUAAAAAGUUAUUGACGACUGAUGGUUUGAGUUUAUGUUGCAGCAGAUCUAUUCGCCAUCAUGUCUUGGUGCACCAUUGAGUCUGAUCCCGGUGUUUUUACUGAACUUAUACAACAAAUGCAAGUAAAAGGUGUGCAGGU